UUAGGAAUCUUGCGCAAUGGGGGAAACCCUGACGCAGCCAUGCCGCGUGAAUGAUGAAGGUCUUAGGAUUGUAAAAUUCUUUCAGCGGGGACGAUAAUGACGGUACCCGCAGAAGAAGCCCCGGCUAACUUCGUGCCAGCAGCCGCGGUAAUACGAAGGGGGCUAGCGUUGCUCGGAAUUACUGGGCGUAAAGGGCGCGUAGGCGGAUGUCUUAGUCAGCGGUGAAAGCCCAGGGCUCAACCUUGGAACUGCCAUUGAUACUGGACAUCUUGAGUACGGGAGAGGUGAGUGGAACUCCGAGUGUAGAGGUGAAAUUCGUAGAUAUUCGGAAGAACACCAGUGGCGAAGGCGACUCACUGGCCCGUUACUGACGCUGAGGCGCGAAAGCGUGGGGAGCAAACAGG
RNAcentral lists this ribosomal RNA (404 nucleotides) under uncultured bacterium. RNAcentral's name for it is "bacterial SSU rRNA". It matches the Rfam family "Bacterial small subunit ribosomal RNA", at positions 355 to 776 of the family's 1533-position model. The record is from RNAcentral.